This 305-nucleotide ribosomal RNA is filed under the name uncultured bacterium. Its description in RNAcentral is "bacterial SSU rRNA". It matches the Rfam family "Bacterial small subunit ribosomal RNA", at positions 334 to 655 of the family's 1533-position model. The record is from RNAcentral.
GGCCCCUACGGGAGGCAGCAGUGGGGAAUAUUGCACAAUGGGGGAAACCCUGAUGCAGCAACGCCGCGUGAAGGAAGACGGUUUUCGGAUUGUAAACUUCUGUUCUUAGUGAAGAAAAAUGACGGUAGCUAAGGAGCAAGCCACGGCUGACUACGUGCCAGCAGCCGCGGUAAUACGUAGGUGGCAAGCGUUGUCCGGAAUUACUGGGUGUAAAGGGAGCGCAGGCGGGAAGCCAAGUCAGCUGUGAAAACUACGGGCUUAACUUGUAGACUGCAGUUGAAACUGGUCUUCUUGAGGUAAGUAGG